GAAUUUUCUUUUGCCUGCCAACUGCAGGAGACGCUAGACCCCGUUGCAUCUGCGAUCUGUUCCCCAGAGUCCAUACGCGAGACGCCACCUGACGCCAGACGCCGUUUCAUCUGUGAUCUGAGCGGGGCACCGGCGAUUGGCGGACGCCUGACGGCCGACGCAGGCGCUGCCUGGUGUAGCAGUCCUCGCCAACGACGUCAAGUCCGUCACAAAACAAGGGUGUCGAAUGGACGGUUUGAUGACGUAUUUUGGAAUUUCAAAUUGCAAGACAUCUUUUCCAAUGUUGCUUGAAAAAUUUGUGAAAGUGGCGCAUCGGGAUGACUUGAGCUCCCGGUGGCGGAGCUGCUAUAGAGCCAUUGGGUUCAAAUGAACCCAAUGAAAAAG
Brachypodium distachyon (stiff brome) is the source of this 384-nucleotide long non-coding RNA. RefSeq lists it as uncharacterized. Lineage: Eukaryota; Viridiplantae; Streptophyta; Magnoliopsida; Poales; Poaceae. The transcript has 3 exons. The record is from RefSeq and is a predicted model, not a curated record.